GCCUGAUUGAUGGCUUUGAAAAAUGCAUUAGCAACAUCCAAAGCUUAUAUUUAAAGUUUGAUGCUUUCUCCAAGUUCAGACACGUCAUAGAGCUUUCCAGAGACCAUUGACGCAGCUUUUAUUAUUUAGUUUUGCUUUAUUUGGCAGUUUUGAGCUCCUAUUCUUUGUUUACAUCUGUACUGUAAAGUGAAACCUGGAAUUGGGCCCCCUACAAGUAUACAAUGUUUCGUCGAUGAUUUUGAUGAUUUUAUACAAUUGAGUACUCAAGUUUUAAUAGAGAUCUUUUACUUCUAGUCUGCUCAGUUGUCCGAAUUAAAAUAAUUCCCUCUUUCUCAUAAGGUAUUAAAAUGCUGCAUUAAUUGUAAGCUAACUGAAAGCUGUAGCUUAUCAAAGGUAACUCCUCUUAACCAGGUUAACAUCUUAGUAACCUUAAGUAUGACACCAUUUUGACUUUGAGCUUUUAAGUAAAAGGUAGCAGCAUUCCUGAGUUAUAGGGUGAAACACCCGGUUCAGAACAGAGAUCUGUAGUAAUUGAGUUCUGUAAAACUUGAUGGUUCUCUAAACGUUUGAGUGCUCAGGCUUGAUUUGUACACAAUACAAGAUGUCUGAAAUCCUCACUUAGAAUUUAAGGGUAUUGCUUGCUCUUUCAACUUUAUCCUUUUAAAAUACUAGUGAUCUUUUAAUUGUGUAUCAGGUAUUUUCACUAACCUUGGAUCAUUGAAUCUUAAACACGAUAACAUAGAAUAUCUGAACUUUGGACUUGUUUUCUAAAGUAUAUGGCCUUUAGUUCUCAUGGAACUAAAUAUAGUGAUUCAAAAAUCAAAACUUAGUGUUUUGGGAGUUUUUUUCCCUCUUUGGGGUAUAUGGUUUUUUGGGGGUUUGGGGUUUUUUUUUUUUUUAAAAGCAUAAUGCUGUAAAAACUGUCCACAAGUUUCUGUUUUGCUGGUGAUUGGUUUAAAACUGAUUUUUAUGUAUCCAAAUGCUAGCACAAAUUAGAUUGACUAUACUGGUGACUGUAGUAGUUAAUGUAACACAUUUUGUAUAAAGUACAUUUUAUACAGUAUUUAAACUAAUUCAGAUGAAGUUUUAUUUCUUGAAAACAAUUAUUUCCUUUUUGUUUAUUAGCAUGUGUAUAAGCACAGAUCACAUGUUCAUAAAUAAAGUUAACAUUCU
Molecule: long non-coding RNA, 1173 nt
Filed under: Bos taurus (domestic cattle)
Lineage: Eukaryota; Metazoa; Chordata; Mammalia; Artiodactyla; Bovidae
Description: long non-coding RNA NONBTAT015596
Source: RNAcentral